This 433-nucleotide ribosomal RNA is filed under the name uncultured bacterium. RNAcentral describes it as "partial 16S ribosomal RNA". It matches the Rfam family "Bacterial small subunit ribosomal RNA", at positions 29 to 507 of the family's 1533-position model. The record is from RNAcentral.
AACGAACGCUGGCGGCAUGCCUAACACAUGCCAGUCGAACGAGACCUUCGGGUCUAGUGGCGCACGGGUGCGUAACGCGUGGGAACCUGCCCUUAGGUUCGGAAUAACUCCCCGAAAGGGGUGCUAAUACCGGAUAAUGUCUUCGGACCAAAGAUUUAUCGCCUUUGGAUGGGCCCGCGUUGGAUUAGCUAGUUGGUAGGGUAAAAGCCUACCAAGGCGACGAUCCAUAGCUGGUCUGAGAGGAUGAUCAGCCACACUGGGACUGAGACACGGCCCAGACUGCUACGGGGGGGAGCAGUAGAGAAUAUUAGACAAUGGGCGAAAGCCUGGUCAAGCAGUGCCGGGUGAGAGAUGAAGGCCUUAGGAUUGUAAAGCUCUUUUAGCCGGGAUGAGAAUGACAGUACCGGGUGAAGAAGCUCCGGCUAACUACGUG